Molecule: long non-coding RNA, 3471 nt
Filed under: Salvia miltiorrhiza (redroot sage)
Lineage: Eukaryota; Viridiplantae; Streptophyta; Magnoliopsida; Lamiales; Lamiaceae
Description: long non-coding RNA (SMIL_LNC007180)
Source: RNAcentral
GUAUGUCUAGAUUUCAGGAACAAGUGUCAUCGCUAAGCAACAGCUCUCAGUUCAAAACACAUACAAUUAUAAAAGAUCAACCUUAUUGAAAAAAAUAAAAUAUACAAAGCUUAAUUCUGUGCAUGAGUCAAAAUAAAGCAACUGGCUAACCUUGAACCCAUUUUCAUGAGUGCAUGGGGGGUAGGAGGUUCUGAGUCAUGAGGUCUACCUUCCCCAUUUCUCUCCUACAACAGAAAAUAAAAAAAAAAAGACUACAAACUAAUGUUAACAGAUAGCCUGAAAAUGUACACUUUAGGAAAUGGAGCAGGACUACACAACCAAGCAAAAUCAUGACAUGAUAGCACAUAUGCAACCUAACAAAUGAUAUAAUGCUUUUCGUUUAGAAGAAAGCAGCACGAGGAUUGGUAAGUAUACAAACUAAAAGAAUAUAUAUUUUAACAAGGCAUUCAGGAUCUCAUCUUAAUCUUUUAAGGAACCAGAGUGGUUAACUCAAAGUAGAGAAUACAUGCAAUAGAUUAAUAUUGGAAAUCAGGAUUUUCAGGAACAUGCUCUCAUAGCUGAGAGGUAAGAAACUAAUAAUCUCCUUCAUAAAUUAACAUUAUAAAAAGAAAUGAAGAUGUAACUACUUAAGGAUGAGUCAUUGAUCUCUUUGAUAUUUUUCCAAUCUGAAUAACAUGCAGAGCAGAAUUAAUCUCAAACAGGAGAAACCUCAUUAUGAGUAGUGCAUGUGAUCUGAACACUACAAAUAGAAUCUGAAAUAAUUCAUUCGGAUCCAGACAGUUCAGCAGAUUUCAAGAUUUAACUGCAGAGAAGGUCGUAGACAAACAAAAAACUAGUUAAGGUAGCAUGUUUACCAUGUCAUUAGAGGGAAUGCUACCAUUAGGAGCAGCGACCCUCCAAGCUAUUGUAGCCGCCAGCUUUUCUGCGAUUCUGUAAAGCCUUCACUUCAGAUCCGGAUUGCCCCCUCACAGGAGCAGCGUCCUGUUCAAAUCACAAGUCAGCCGCAGCACAUUUAAAGCUGACUAGACUAAAUCAAACACAACUAUAAUCUAUUAGUGAACUUCGUUUGAUAGCAAAAAUUUACAUAAUUAAUUAAGAUGAACUUAAGUAAUGACAAGAGGAAGAGGAAUAUGAGAUGGAAUUGUAAGACUCACGAUUUUCCAGCACCACUCGUUUCCAUAACCACUGAGCUUUGCCUGUCCAAUGUUGGUAGCAUCAUAUAAUUACUAACAUUAUCAAAAAUAGAUGACUUAAUCAACUCAUUGAUUUCAAUUAUGUAUACCUUUAUAAAUGUCAUCUGAUAUACCUUAAAUGCAUAUAUAAGAUCUCUCUUUCCCAUCAAAAGCUGCUGUCAAAUAAUCAUUCAUAUUCAAACAACUUUGAGACACCUAACAUGACUUAGUCACACAUAAACCUCUAUGUUAAAAGGGGCAGCACGCAUCUUAGGCUUCAAAUCCCGUCUGAAAUGGCUGUGGAUUCACCUUUCUCGGCCUUCCCCUAGGCCUGCUAGUCUUGGAGAUGCUCGGGGGGUGGGGGGAGGGGGGUUGAUGGGGGGCUUCAGCUUUUUGAGUUUUCUUCCACCAACUGUUUGUGUACCUGUUUCUGAAGCAAGCAAUAAACUAAGUGCCAUAAAACUUCACCAUUCCUUCAAAUGCAAACUUUUAUGACCAAGCAAGAAAAUACUACAACUCAAAACCACAAAUAAGAUCACCCAACUGAGCAAACUGAAUACCGAGACAAAUAUUGUUCAUCAAAUCCUUAUAACUCCCAGCAACCUCAAUUCAGUUUAGUGUCUCUUCAAGGAUAAUAUUGCUGAUAAAUUCAUAUUCCUAGUUACAAAGACUAAUCUGUAAGCAGAAUCUAGUUAACACAAACUUCACAAAUUGAAACACGCACAAGCUUCACAAACUUCACAAAGACUAAUCUGUGAAGAAAAACAUGGAUGAUUAGGUAAUGCAAACCUUAACAAGCUCAUCAAGGACCGAAAAGGCCAGUGAUGUAGCUCUCUCCGGAAUGAAUCUGUAGAAAGAUAGCAAAUAGUAUCAGAGGCCAAUGUCUGUAGAAAGAUAGCAAAUAGCAAGUAGAAUAAAAUCGUAUUCUGAUAAACUUCCCACUAAGAUUUCAAUUUGACACCUAACGAAGGUACAGAUAGACUUUGAAGUUGCAUCUUUCAGAGCUCUGGUCAGAAAAUUCAAGCACUCGGGGGGGGUUACUAGGGUCAGCUGAAGCACCCUCCAGCCAAUAUAUCACUCUUUGAAAUUCCAUAAUCAACACUAAUUCAAUCUACUGCAUACUCUAAUGUAAUUACUCUAACUCGCCAGAAACUAGCAAUUUCAUCUUCAACUUGCUCUCACUUCGCACAGCAACACAAACACAAUAUCCCCCAAACUGUGGAAUACAGAAGUGCUUACAAAACGCUACAAUUUGAAACUCCACCUCAGCCAAUAAUACAACCAACUCAAGAACGGUACACUUCAAACACAACCACAAUCAUCCAACAAACGCAACGAACUGCAUAACACAGUAAUUAUCUUUUAAUAGAAAAAAGGAAAAAUAACGUACGGGUUGAGAUAAUCGGAACGGGAAACGAGACAAUCCCAUCCUAGAGAAGAGUAGAGAGCGACUAAAUCCUUCAAUUGAACAUACGACCAAACCGAAACCCACGCAAAAAGCACAACUAUCCCCUUUGCUUUGCAUUCUUCUCCGCGAUUCCGCGACCCAAUACAACUUCCCGCGCCCAUCACACAAACUCCAUUAGCACCAUUCUACAACACCACACUAUUUAAAACACGACAACAAAAUAAAACAAAGAGGAAUUGAGAGUAGACCUUAAAACAAAACUCCUUCAGUUCAGCGACGGACAUCCUCUUUCUCAGCGACAAAUCAAUUGGAAGCAGAAGAAGAUUUAGCCCUCCAGCUUCAUUUGAACCCUAGCUUUGGCAUUUCCACACAAUUGAGAGUCGAAUCGUGUGAUUGGGCAAGAGGGAUUGAGGAAUUGAAAGGGGUUUGGGCGUGUACAGGUUGCGUGAGGAGAGGUCGGCGGAAAAGGGCGGCACGGAGAGGUCGAAGUCCUAGGGUUCUAGAUUUGGNCAAUUAUGCCCGGUUGUCUUAACAUGUAUGUCUAGAUUUCAGGAACAAGUGUCAUCGCUAAGCAACAGCUCUCACUUCAAAACACAUACAAUUUAUAAAAGAUCAACCUUAUUGAAAAAAAUAAAAUAUACAAAGCUUAAUUCUGUGCAUGAGUCAAAAUAAAGUCAACUGGCUAACCUUGAACCCAUUUUCAUGUAGUGCUAUGGGGGGUAGGAGGUUCUGAGUCAUGAGGUCUACCUUCCCCAUUUCUCUCCUACAACAGAAAUAAAAAAAAAAAGACUCAAACUAAUGUUAACAGAUAGCCCUGAAAAUGUACACUUUAGGAAAUGGAGCAGGACUACACAACCAAGCAAAAUCAUGACAUGAUAGCACAUAUGCAAC